GGACUUCAACUGUGGGAGUCUUAGAGGGGGCCUAUAAUUAGGUGCAAAUAACCCUGAAAACCCCCAGGUACAGCUUGGAACGCCACAUAUAAUUUGUCAUCACUAGGUAAGUUGGGUGUCACUGUGGCUGCCAUAGCAUUUUUCCUGAAAGCAAAGAUGCUGUCCAAUAAUCCGAUCAUUUGAGGCAGACUGUGGAAAGAGUUCAUUCCAACUCCAGGAGAGGCUGGGGAGGGAGAGGCAGCUGGACAGAAGAGAUUUAGUGUGGGAUAACGUGGAGCUCCUUGGAUCCUGGUUCCAGUCCCAUGUUGACCUGCCUGCGGGGACUCAGGAAAGUCACUUGUGAUCUCUGCUUUUUUCCACAAAUCAAGGGAUUUGAUGUAGAAAGAGCUGCAGAAGGCAUCUCAUCCAUCAUUGGCAUACACAAGUGAUUUGGUCACAGAAUGCCCUGAAGACUAUAAAGCAUUGAACAGAAGCAGUCACCGUGAUUUUCAUGGACUCUGCCAGAGCAUCCAAGCCAGAGUUCGAUCUGCUUCAGAGCACUUCUUGUUUUCAAUGGCUGGAACAUCCUCUCUGGAGAUGACACCCCUCUUAGGUUAAAGUGUGUUCCUUAUUGUGUUGAAGAUGAUCUUUCUCAUUAGGAAUGAACUAUAGACACACAUGUCCACCUUCAAGCAGCAGUUACGACCUUGAAAUCACGGGUAUGUUGAGUAUCUGUACUGUAUAGUUGAGUACCUGUGUAAAUGAGUUUUCCAUGUAUAUAAUCUUAUAAAAAUAUAUGCAUGGAAAACUAAUUAGCUAAACCAGUGGAAUUAAUGUAUAUAUUCUUGUAUGCAUGCAUGCAUUUAUUUUUUGUAAUCAUGGAGAUCUUUUACCAAAUAAAAUCCUGUGUGGG
This 892-nucleotide long non-coding RNA is filed under the name Homo sapiens (human). RNAcentral describes it as "HSALNT0237622". Lineage: Eukaryota; Metazoa; Chordata; Mammalia; Primates; Hominidae. The record is from RNAcentral.